RNAcentral lists this transfer RNA (83 nucleotides) under Candidatus Colinaster scatohippi. RNAcentral describes it as "tRNA-Leu". It matches the Rfam family "tRNA". Rfam says of the family: Transfer RNA (tRNA) molecules are approximately 80 nucleotides in length. Their secondary structure includes four short double-helical elements and three loops (D, anti-codon, and T loops). Further hydrogen bonds mediate the characteristic L-shaped molecular structure. tRNAs have two regions of fundamental functional importance: the anti-codon, which is responsible for specific mRNA codon recognition, and the 3' end, to which the tRNAs corresponding amino acid is attached (by aminoacyl-tRNA synthetases). tRNAs cope with the degeneracy of the genetic code in two manners: having more than one tRNA (with a specific anti-codon) for a particular amino acid; and 'wobble' base-pairing, i.e. permitting non-standard base-pairing at the 3rd anti-codon position. Lineage: Bacteria; Bacillati; Bacillota; Clostridia; Lachnospirales; Lachnospiraceae. The record is from RNAcentral.
GCGGAAAUGCUGGAAUUGGCAGACAGGCAUGACUAAGGAUCAUGUGUUCCCAGAACGUGAGGGUUCAAGUCCCUUUUUCCGCA